GUACACUCCUACGGGAGGCAGCAGUGGGGAAUUUUGGACAAUGGGCGAAAGCCUGAUCCAGCAAUGCCGCGUGAGUGAAGAAGGCCUUCGGGUUGUAAAGCUCUUUUGUCAGGGAAGAAACGGUGAGAGCUAAUAUCUCUUGCUAAUGACGGUACCUGAAGAAUAAGCACCGGCUAACUACGUGCCAGCAGCCGCGGUAAUACGUAGGGUGCAAGCGUUAAUCGGAAUUACUGGGCGUAAAGCGUGCGCAGGCGGUUUUGUAAGUCUGAUGUGAAAUCCCCGGGCUCAACCUGGGAAUUGCAUUGGAGACUGCAAGGCUAGAAUCUGGCAGAGGGGGGUAGAAUUCCACGUGUAGCAGUGAAAUGCGUAGAUAUGUGGAGGAACACCGAUGGCGAAGGCAGCCCCCUGGGUCAAGAUUGACGCUCAUGCACGAAAGCGUGGGGAGCAAACAGGAUUAGAAACCCGAGUAGUCCC
Molecule: ribosomal RNA, 474 nt
Filed under: uncultured organism
Description: partial 16S ribosomal RNA
Rfam family: Bacterial small subunit ribosomal RNA
Source: RNAcentral